GGCCUGUCUGGGUGCCGAGCCGAUGGACUAAACCUGCUGAUCCCAGUGAUUUACCUUCAGCUGAUCCAGAAAAUUUAGCAGAUACUUCUCGUUCUCUACUAUCAACAUAGAGACGGGAUCUGAUGAACUCUCACAUGAAAAUCUUGUGUACAGUACCAAAUUGUGAAUGUUAUCCUUUUGUAUGUUACAUUUGUAAAGUGUGUAAGGAAAAGUGGUGGAUACAUUCUAAGUGGGGUCGAUCUCCAAGAGGGAUUUGUACAGAGUGUUACAACUUUGAAAGAAAUUUGACUGAGAUUGCAUUACAGGGAUCUGAUAGAUGGUGGGAGAUUUUUGCUUUUGGGAUAAAUCCAGAAAAUUAUUGUUAUCAUCCUAAUACCCCUUUACCAUAUAUUAUUGAAAUAACCACAAUAUGUUGUCGUAAGACACUUAUACAGGUCAGGUGUGGCAAUUCUUAAAACGGCAGUCUCGAGAGAAAGGGUCUUUCCCUGAAAGUUAUCCCUGUUGCCAAGAAUGAAAUGGUGUUCAUGAUUUCGAAGCAACCGAAUCGACAGGCGAGGCAGAGGGGUAAAAGAAAAGGGAAGCAAGAUCUCGCAUGUGAUCCAGCCAAGAUGCUAGCUGAACUGCCACAAUCCUUUUAAAAUCCUUAAAGGACUAUCUCUGAUCAGGUUGUUGUUGUGGUUUACCAUGAUAAAGGGAAAUGAAGGGUUUUUGAUUGACAUGGAUGAAAGACAAAAUAUGUGGGUAACAUGGGCUAAUCAAACUGGACAGGAUAAUUUUUGCCUUUCAAUGGCUACCCCUUCGGAUCCUUUUCGAACUUGUUUAGUGGGCGCACCUUUAGAUGAUUCACUCAAUGCCACAAUGUUAAAAAAUUUGGCACAAAUGGCAAUUGUUAUUAUAUUGAUCAUUAUGAUUGUCUUACUGUUUAUUCCUUGCAUACUGCAAUGCUUGCAAAACAUGGUAAAGAAGGCUACUUCUACAGUUUUGUUAGUACAAAAAGAAAAUGGGGGAAUUGUAGAGGAAUGGCUAGAGAGCAAAGGUCAUAUUCCCAUGCAGCAGUUAGCUGGGAAAGAGUUAGACAAUGGAGUACAGAAAGAGUUAGACAAUGGAGUACAGUUAGUGUGAGAUGUUGCAAAGUCAGGAAGGCCUUAGUGAUAACUGUUAACUGAGAACAGGAUGCUGUGAUCAAAAGAAUGUGAAUUCAGCAUAGAUGAGCGAUCACGGGAAUGUGGAAUUAGAUGGAGCUGACCUUAAAUGAAAAUAUCCAAUAAUGAGCUUGCUUUUGCACUAUGUAUGAGCCUAAUUAUUGAUGCUAUAUAAGUGGCUUUAGAAUUACCAAUAAAUGAGACUUGCUGAUCA
This 1356-nucleotide long non-coding RNA is filed under the name Parus major (Great Tit). Its description in RNAcentral is "lncRNA (ENSPMJG00000015565.1)". The record is from RNAcentral. Lineage: Eukaryota; Metazoa; Chordata; Aves; Passeriformes; Paridae.